Molecule: ribosomal RNA, 33 nt
Filed under: Mycosphaerella grandis
Lineage: Eukaryota; Fungi; Ascomycota; Dothideomycetes; Mycosphaerellales; Mycosphaerellaceae
Also listed under: 3 other names
Description: partial 26S ribosomal RNA
Source: RNAcentral
CAGGUAGGGAUACCCGCUGAACUUAAGCAUAUC